CUUGGAAUCUCGAUACUGAGAUAGAUGGACCCGUAGCCAACCAUACUAGUUGUUCUUCAAUCACAUUAUCAUCCAUCAGUCAUCACCGCAACCAAGAGGCGAAAGUGUCAAUGUGAUGAUGUGUAAUCCAGGCUUCAGCCUUCCCUUGGUUUGAGGACCGUACAAUAGCCCUGUGCUCCUUCAUAUAUGGAGCGAGUAGAGAUGAUUGUUGCAGGACCAUGAAGUGUGCUGUACAAAAUGUAUCCUCAUCAAUGUCCAUCCGAGCUUUCCUCCCUAGUGUGCCCUUUCC
This 289-nucleotide long non-coding RNA is filed under the name Setaria viridis. Its description in RNAcentral is "long non-coding RNA (SVIR_LNC009190)". Lineage: Eukaryota; Viridiplantae; Streptophyta; Magnoliopsida; Poales; Poaceae. The record is from RNAcentral.